RNAcentral lists this ribosomal RNA (764 nucleotides) under bacterium EJ10-23. RNAcentral describes it as "bacterial SSU rRNA". It matches the Rfam family "Bacterial small subunit ribosomal RNA", at positions 50 to 820 of the family's 1533-position model. The record is from RNAcentral.
UACACAUGCAAGUCGAACGCGUGAAGGUGGGAGCUUGCUCCUGCUGGAUCAGUGGCGAACGGGUGAGUAACACGUGAGUAACCUGCCCUUGACUCUGGGAUAAGCGUUGGAAACGACGUCUAAUACCGGAUACGAGCUUCAGCCGCAUGGCUAGGAGUUGGAAAGAAUUUCGGUCAAGGAUGGACUCGCGGCCUAUCAGCUUGUUGGUGAGGUAAUGGCUCACCAAGGCGACGACGGGUAGCCGGCCUGAGAGGGUGACCGGCCACACUGGGACUGAGACACGGCCCAGACUCCUACGGGAGGCAGCAGUGGGGAAUAUUGCACAAUGGGCGCAAGCCUGAUGCAGCAACGCCGCGUGAGGGACGACGGCCUUCGGGUUGUAAACCUCUUUUAGCAGGGAAGAAGCGAAAGUGACGGUACCUGCAGAAAAAGCACCGGCUAACUACGUGCCAGCAGCCGCGGUAAUACGUAGGGUGCAAGCGUUGUCCGGAAUUAUUGGGCGUAAAGAGCUCGUAGGCGGUUUGUCGCGUCUGCUGUGAAAACGCGAGGCUCAACCUCGCGCCUGCAGUGGGUACGGGCAGACUAGAGUGCGGUAGGGGAGAUUGGAAUUCNCUGGUGUAGCGGUGGAAUGCGCAGAUAUCAGGAGGAACACCGAUGGCGAAGGCAGAUCUCUGGGCCGUAACUGACGCUGAGGAGCGAAAGCGUGGGGAGCGAACAGGAUUAGAUACCNCUGGUAGUCCACGCCGUAAACGUUGGGAACUAGA